Molecule: unclassified non-coding RNA, 311 nt
Filed under: Hevea brasiliensis (rubber tree)
Lineage: Eukaryota; Viridiplantae; Streptophyta; Magnoliopsida; Malpighiales; Euphorbiaceae
Source: RNAcentral
CGAGAUUGAGAGUGACACAAAGAUUCAGAUUCUCUCAACGGUAACUAAUUUGAAUCCCUGAUCUACUGGUAAUUUAUGAUAUUUUACAGAGUUGAGGGAGGGCAGUAAACGUUAACAUGUAACUUUCUUAGUUGACUAGUAACAGUACUUCCGGAUUCUCAUCCUGGAUUCCCACUAGAAAGUUGGAAGCCAAACUCCCCAAAAGCAUGCAAUAAAGGGACAAGCUAUAGGCCUCCACCUCCUACCCUUCCUCCUCCUACUUCUCUCUCACCAUGGGGACUCUAGAGGCACAAACAACAUACCCCUCCACC